Molecule: ribosomal RNA, 293 nt
Filed under: Chlamylla intermedia
Lineage: Eukaryota; Metazoa; Mollusca; Gastropoda; Nudibranchia; Paracoryphellidae
Description: partial 16S ribosomal RNA
Rfam family: Archaeal large subunit ribosomal RNA
Source: RNAcentral
ACCUGCCCAAUGUUAGAAAUAAUGAAUGGCCGCGGUACCCUGACCGUGCUAAGGUAGCGUAAUCAGUUGGCUUUUAAAUGGAGUCAGGAAUGAAUGGGAAAACCGGGUCUAGCUGUCUCCAAACUAUUUUUUUGAAUUUACUGUUUAAGUGAAAAAGCUUAAAUUUGAUAAAGGGACGAGAAGACCCUUAGAAUUUUUUUUAAAGUGAAAGUUUUUCAUAAUAAUUUUGUUGGGGCGACAGAGAGAUAUUUAAAACUUUCUUUAAAUUACAAGCCGAUUUUGUUAAGUAAGAA